GAUGAACGCUGGUGGCGUGCUUAACACAUGCAAGUCGAACGAAGCGCUUGAGAUUGAUUCUUCGGAAGAUUUCUCUUGUGACUUAGUGGCGGACGGGUGAGUAACGCGUGGGUAACCUGCCUCACACAGGGGGAUAACAGUUGGAAACGACCGCUAAUACCGCAUAACCCGCUAGGGCCGCAUGGCCCGGACGGAAAAGAUUUAUCGGUGUGAGAUGGACCCGCGUUGGAUUAGCUAGUUGGCAGGGUAACGGCCUACCAAGGCGACGAUCCAUAGCCGGCCUGAGAGGGUGAACGGCCACAUUGGGACUGAGACACGGCCCAAACUCCUACGGGAGGCAGCAGUGGGGAAUAUUGCACAAUGGGGGAAACCCUGAUGCAGCGACGCUGCGUGAGUGAAGAAGUAUUUCGGUAUGUAAAGCUCUAUCAGCAGGGAAGAAAAUGACGGUACCUGACUAAGAAGCCCCGGCUAACUACGUGCCAGCAGCCGCGGUAA
Molecule: ribosomal RNA, 495 nt
Filed under: uncultured bacterium
Lineage: Bacteria
Description: partial 16S ribosomal RNA
Rfam family: Bacterial small subunit ribosomal RNA
Source: RNAcentral